AUUGAACGCUGGCGGCAGGCCUAACACAUGCAAGUCGAACGAGUGGCGGACGGGUGAGUAAUGUCUGGGAAACUGCCUGAUGGAGGGGGAUAACUACUGGAAACUGUAGCUAAUACCGCAUACAAUCGGAUGGCCCCAGAGGGGAUUAGCUAGUAGGUGGGGUAAAGGCCCACCUAGGCGACGAUCCCUCGAGGGUCUGAGAGGAUGACCAGCCACACUGGAACUGAGACACGGUCCAGAGUCCUACGGUAGGCAGCAGUGGGGAAUAGUGCACAAGGGGCGAAAGCCUGAUGCAGCCAUGCCGCGUGUAUGAAGAAGGCCUUCGGGUUGUAAAGUACUUUCAGCGGGGAGGCGUUACCCGCAGAAUAAGCACCGGCUAACUCCGUGCCAGCCGCCGCGGUAAUAC
RNAcentral lists this ribosomal RNA (406 nucleotides) under uncultured bacterium. RNAcentral's name for it is "partial 16S ribosomal RNA". It matches the Rfam family "Bacterial small subunit ribosomal RNA", at positions 30 to 526 of the family's 1533-position model. The record is from RNAcentral.